GCCCGGGUCCUGUAAUCCUUAUGGGUGACCAACCUUGUGCCUCCGGGAGAUCCACACUCCCACCUGGAAACACGCGGGAAACCAAGCCGCCAAAAAAGCGCUGUCUUUUAGCUCCAAGGUGGGAUUAUCCAGAAGGAACUCCUAACGGAGGUAGUACCCCUCUCCCUUCCGCACCUACUCCUGCAUCACCGGGCCUGAAGUCGCACCCACCUCCUCCGGAGAAGUAGUACAACACACUUCUCCCACCCCAAACCAGGAAGCACAGAGGAUGAACCAAGUCAUUCUGCCUGGUAGUAAUCAUGAUCCAUCAAAGAGGAAGGGGUAACUUUGGGUGGGCCUUAAAAAGUGAGUGAUGUCUGCCAUGUGGAGGGGGAGGGAAUGCUUUUCUUCGGGGCCUAGCAUUUCCAGAACAAAAGCUCCAAGGCAGGUUUGUUCUAGGAAAAGCUUGGCUAUAAUUCUGAAUCUAUGAGAAUAAUUAGGAGGUGAAAUAGAGUAUUGCAGAGCCUUGAAUGAUAUGCUAACGAGUAUGCAGUUUAAUCCCUAAGUAGUGACAACCAUUGAAGAGUUUCAAGAAAGUGAUAUAUUUUAGGAAUCCCGUUCACUGUUAGAAAAAAUCUUCGAUUUAGAUGAACUUAUAGGAUGCAAAAAAUAAAAUCUGAUCCAAACCUCACAAAUUCUUGUAAUCCGAAAGGGCAUCCUUUCCUCAUUCAUGCGGUAAACCCUUAAGGAGCCCUUUCAAUGGACUAGGCAUUGUGCUAGGAGCUCUACGGAAUGGAUAACCAAAGCAUAUAGGAGUGAAACAGUGGCAGCUAAGGGGGUUCCAGACUUGGGGUUUGAUAGUGGUGCAUAGAAAAAGAAUGAGCUCUGUUGUGCUUGAAAGUAUUACCCAGUCACAUUCCUUACAGCCUGAUUUCCCUCAACUUCACCUCUGUCCAAAGGGUGGUGGUGUGGGAGUAGUGGGAAACCAUAGGGAUAGCACCGCUCAAACAGAAAAUGAAGUUGUUUAGGUCAAGAAGUGCAAGAGCUACAUAAUUGCCUCCAGUGAUUCAAAUCAUUGAAAAUUAUACUAAUAGCGAAUAUUUACUGAACAUCUUUAUGUGCCAGGCACUGGUCUACAAUGCCUCCCAGAGUUUGUUCUCUUAAUUGCUAAGCAAUAGUUCCCUCCUAAUACUGUCUAUAUAACUUUUUUUGGGGGGGGAGUAUGUUAGAGCAUAGGGAUUUGAGGAGGCCAGGGGAAAGAGAUAAACAGUAAAGAAGAAAUGAUUUCACUUUAUUUUACUAUUUUUCAGUCUUUGAGGGAUUGCAGUAUGACUCUAUUUCCUUGGUAUAUGUGCUGCCGAAGCAAGCACCUGACUCUGUUUCCUUAGUGCAUUCAUAAAAUAGUUCACUCAGUGAAGACAAUGAAGAUUAUUGACAAUGCUACCCUGCUUUUUCUGAUGUUCUACACCAGGAAGUUGUGAUUUUUAAGGUAAUCUCUUUACCAAAAACUUAUUAAAAGAGGGAGAAGAAUAAGAGUUGAUUAUGACACAUUAAAAAUAACUACCCCAGAGUUCCUUUGUGGUGCAGUGGGUUGAGGAUCUGGCGUUGUCACUGCAGCAGCUCAGGUGGCUGCUGUGUUGCAGGUUCGAUCCCUGGCCCUGGAAUUUCCACAUGCCACAGGCAUGGCCAAGAUAAAUUUUUAAAAUGAAGAAAUAAUUACUCAAAAACAAAAAGCUAGCACCAAAUGAUAAAAUUUAAAUCAUUUCUACAUUAUAUGAAACCAUAUGUAUAUACCAUAUAAUAAUGUUAUAUAUAAGCUGUUCUGUUAGAUUCACUCCUAAUUACCUUAUGGUUUUUGCUGUUACUGUGAAAUACACUUUUUAAACCACAUUUUCAGAUUAUUGCUGGUAAAUGGGAACAUGAUUGAUUUUUUUUAUUUACAUGAUUGAUAUUUUUAUAUACUGAUGUUAUAUACCGUAACCUUUCUGAAUUCUAUUUGUUCCAAUAAUUUGUAGAUUCUUUGGAUUGUAUGUUAAUUAGUCAUAUUGUGAAUAACGACAGUUUCUUCCUUUCCAAUAUUGGCUUUUUAAAUUUGCCUUACUGUGCUAGCUAGAGUCUUCGGUACAAAAAGAAAUAGUGGCAGUGGUAGAGGAUUUCCUUGUCUUGCUUCUGAAUAUACAAGGGGAUUCUAUACGUGUUUACCAUUUUUAGUAGGUUUUCUUUUUCAGGUUAAAAAAUUUCCUUUGUAUUCUUAGUUUGCUGAGAGCUUUUAUUAUGAAUGAAUGUGGAGUUUUAUCUCCAAAUACUUUGUAUCUACUCCCCGAUCAUAUGGGUUUUUUUUCCUCCAUUAAUACGACAAUGUGACUGUGUGAUGAAUUACAAUAAUCGAUUUUCUAAUAUAUUUCCUUCUUUUGGUUUCAUCAGUCCUCACCAUUUAAUAUUUUGUCUAUUUUAAUAAUUUUUCCUUUUAUUUUUUCUUUACUAUUUGUUUGCUGUAUUUCUAAUCUAUUUAUUUUAAAUCUUUCCUAAAAUAAGAAUUUAUAACUAUAAAUGUUCUACUAUGUACCACUUUAGAAGAAUUUCACAGGAUUUUAUGUGUACUAUUUUAUUAUUAUUUCCUAAUUUCUUUUAUGAUUUCUUUUUGAUUCAUGAAUUAUUUGGUUCUUUAAAAAAUUUACAGACAUAGAGGUCUCUUUUUUAGAAAUCAUAUUGUGACAUCAUUAAUCCAGUUAUAGUUAAACUUUAUCUUUUUUUCUGCUUUAAAAUAUUUAAUGUGUUUUAUUCAUCUGGUAACAUAAAGCAAAUUUAUAUACUGGCUUCUCAUCCCAAAAGAUUUUAGCAAUAUAAAACUUUUUCUUCCAUUAAAUGGAAAACUGUGAUUAUUCUAUUCAGUGAUGGAGUUAUUGCUCAUAUUUAUACAUGUGUUAUUAAACUUUUUGUUUUAAUCUAAUUUUAUGCUUAAAGAAAAAUUGUGAGAAUAUUACAAAGAAAUCCCAUAUACCCUUUACCUAGACUCACCAAUUACUAUUUUUCCAUGUUUGCUUUAUCAUUCUCUAUUUCAGUUUGUGUUUCUCCCUCUCGUCCCAUUUUUUCCUCCCCUCCUCCCCCAAUCACUUCCCCUCUCUUCUACUUUCUCCUCUUCCUUUCUCAACUAUUUGAGAGUAACUUGCAGACAUCAUGCUCCUUUAUCUGUCAAUACUUCAGUGUAUGUUUUCCUCCAAAUGAUGCCAAUCUCUUACUAACUUCAGUACAUGUGUCAAAAUAGAAAUUUCACAUUGUUUCAAUUUUUUGUUUCAUAAACCUUUAUUAUCAAGAUUAUAUACUUAUACUCACUGAAAAAGGAAUGUGUUUGGGAGAACAUGUAUUUCAAAUGGAUAAUGUAAGGUCUAUUUUUGUUCCUUUUUUCCAGCUUCAUUGAAACAUUUAACAUAUAGUGUUGUAAGUUUAAAGUGUACAGUGUGAUGAUAUGCUACAUGUAUAUAUUGCAAAAUGAUUACCCACAAUAAGAUUAGUUAACACAUCAGUCAUCUCACAGUUAUGAUUUUUUUUGUGUGCGGUGAGAACUUUUAAGACCUCUCUCCUAGCAACUUUUAAGUAUACAAUACACAAUUGUUAACUACAGUCACUGUACUAUAGUAUUAACUAUACUAUAACUAUAGUUAUAUAACUAUAUAUACUAUAACAGUAGCAUUAAUUAUAGUAUACAUCAUGCUGUACAUUAAACUUCCAGAAUGUAUUUAUGUUAAAACCAAAAGUUUAUUUUAUUUUAUUUUUUUAAUUAUUUCCCCAAUACAAUUACAACUGAAAGUUUAUACCCUUUUAUCACCUUCACCUUUCCCCCACCCUCCCAACCCCUGGAAACCACCAAUCUACUGUUUGUGUGAGUUCAGACUUUUUUUUUUAUGUUCCAUAUAUAAGUGAAAACAUACAAUAUUUUUCUCUCUCUGCUAACUUAUUUCACUUAGCCUAAUGCUCUCAAGUUUUAUCUAUUAUGUCAGAGAUGGCAGGAUUUCCUUCUUUAUAUAGCUGAAUAAUAUUCCACUAUAUAUAUAUAUAUAUAUACACACCACAUUUUCUUUGUCCAUUCAUCUCUCAGUGGACAUUUAGAUUUUUUCCACAUCUUUGUUAUUGUAAAUAAUGAUGCAGUAAACAUAAAGGUUGAAAAUAUCUCUUUGAGAUAGUAAUUUCAUUUCCUUCAGAUAUAUCCAGGAGUAGAAUCGCUGGAUCGUAUGAUAGCCCUAUUUUAAUUCUUUUUUUUUUUUUUUAGGAACCUUCAUACUGUUUUCCAUAGUAGAUAUUUCAAUUUACAUUCCUAUCAAGGAAUGUGCAAGGGUUCCCUUUUCCCUGUAUCCUCACCAGCAUUUAUUACCUUCUGUUUUUGUUAAAGCCAUUCUAUCAAGUGUGAGAUAUCUCAUUGUGGUUUUGACUUGCUUUUCUCUGAUGAUUAGUGAUGUUGAGCACCUUUCCAUGUACCUAUUGGCCAUCUGUAUGUCUUUGAAAAAAUGUCUGUUCAAAUAUUUCUCACCUUUUUGAGUUGGAUUGUUUUUCCACCGUUGAGUUGUAUGAGUUCCAUAUAUAUUUUGGGUAUUAAUUUCUGAUCAGUUAUGUGGUUUAAAAUACUUCCUAUUCCAUACUUUAUUUCAUAAAUAUGCUAUUUCUGUCAUUUAUUUUAAUGAUCAAAUUGUCCCAGUGGCAAUCCAUUCAAGCUGGAUUCUCUAUGCAUUUGACACAUUCCCAUCAUUCUUUGAUACAUACUUUGACUUCAGCAUUUCCUUACUUUCUUGUCUUAUAUUUCCUGCUUCAUUAACCAUUUCAGGCUUGUCUUAUAUUUCCUGCUUCAUUAACCAUUUCCCUAUGAAUUUAUGGUACUUUUUAGAGGGACAUGGUAUUUAAAAACCAAGACAAAAAAUACAUUGAUUUUUUUUUUAAUUUUUUAAAAAUUUUUAUGCAAUUUUAAAGAUUACUUUCCAUUUACAGCUAUUACAAAAUAUUAGCUAUAUUCCCCAUACUGUACAAUACAUUCUUGAGCCUUUCUUUACCCUCUAGUGUACACCUCCCAAUUCACCACCACUAUAGUACCCCUCCCCUCUCCUCCCGCUGGUAACCACUAGUUUGUUCUAUCUAUGCAUCUGCCCCUUUCUGCUCUUUUAUUGUUAGUGUAUAGAAAUCUAGCAGAUUUCUGUGUAUUAAUUUUGUACCCUAUGACUUUACCAAAUUAAUUGAUGAGCUGUACUAGUUUUCUGGUGGCAUCUUUAGGAUUUUCUAUAUAUAGUGUCAUGUCAUCUGCAAACAGUGACAGUUUUAUUUUUUCCUUUAGGGUAUAUGGAUAUUUUCUAGCUUGACAUUAUGUUAUUCUUUCCCAUUUAAUUACAUUUUGUACAAACAAUGUAGUUUACAUGAUACUGACUAUAUAGUAUUUAUUGAGACAUGCUUUAUGUUCUAGAGAACAUUAUCAAUUUAUUUGUGCCUGAAAAUGUUUUGUAUAUUCUAAUUGUUACAUGUGCACUCUGUAAAUGUCCAUCAAACUUGCUGACUGUCUUGUCAGCAAGAGUGACAUUAAAAUUAUCUUUUAUAUCACUCUUAAUUCUGUUUGUUUGCUAGAUCUUUCAAUUAUUGAGAAAGAUUUAAAAUCUCCCAGUGAUGGAGUUCCUGCUGUGGUGCAGUGGGAUUGGCGGCCUCUCUGGAGCAGCACUGGGAUGCAGGUUUGGUCCCUGGCCUGGCCCAGUGGGUUAAGGAUCUGGUCUUGCCACAAUUGUGGUGUAGGUGGCAACUGCAGCUCAGAUCUGAUCCCUGGCAUAGGAACUCCAUAUGCUGUGGGGUGGCCAAAAAAAAAAAA
Molecule: long non-coding RNA, 5815 nt
Filed under: Sus scrofa (pig)
Lineage: Eukaryota; Metazoa; Chordata; Mammalia; Artiodactyla; Suidae
Description: lncRNA (ENSSSCG00025069175.1)
Source: RNAcentral